CAGUAGCCGCGGUAAUACAGAGGGUGCGAGCGUUAAUCGGAUUUACUGGGCGUAAAGCGUGCGUAGGCGGCUUUUUAAGUCGGAUGUGAAAUCCCUGAGCUUAACUUAGGAAUUGCAUUCGAUACUGGGAAGAUAGAGUAUGGGAGAGGAUGGUAGAAUUCCAGGUGUAGCGGUGAAAUGCGUAGAGAUCUGGAGGAAUACCGAUGGCGAAGGCAGCCAUCUGGCCUAAUACUGACGCUGAGGUACGAAAGCAUGGGGAGCAAACAGGAUUAGAUACCCCCGUAGUCCCUGUCUCUUAUAC
This 301-nucleotide ribosomal RNA is filed under the name uncultured bacterium. RNAcentral describes it as "partial 16S ribosomal RNA". It matches the Rfam family "Bacterial small subunit ribosomal RNA", at positions 509 to 807 of the family's 1533-position model. The record is from RNAcentral.